CUUUCAAUUUGAAUCCAUUCCUCCCAUCCUGUCACUGCAUGCUCUUGUAUAUAGUAAUUCUUAAAAGGUUAAGAUGAUACUUAUGUAAGCAAGUUAAGUUCCUUUUCUGUUUAUUUAGUUUUUAAAAGGACUAAAUUGCUAUUAAACAAGAAAGAAAUACCUACAUCCUUCAACCAAAAACACGUUAAAAUGAAUGAAGACAAUGCUGGCAGUGCUGGCUUUUGAUGAUACAGGUUAAAGUUGUCAGAAGCCUCUCAGCAAGUGACAAUGCUGUGUCCUGUUACAUGAUGGAGGUGACUCCCGUUGCCUCAGUACGUACUACUGAACUACCUGCCAAACAAUCUUUCUGCUUCAAGGCUACGUGUUUUCCAGGAAUAUUUCUAUCAGGGCAUUUCAUUCCUGUUUCAAAAUGUGAUCUACAAGACAAACAUCAUCCCAAAUACAAACUUUAGAAGUAAAUCAUGAAUGCAAAUGUGUUUCAAUGGAAGAAAGGUGAUUAUGGAAUUAAAAGGUAGACUUUUUUUUCCUUUUCCCCUUUCUU
RNAcentral lists this long non-coding RNA (541 nucleotides) under Parus major (Great Tit). RNAcentral describes it as "lncRNA (ENSPMJG00000016321.1)". The record is from RNAcentral. Lineage: Eukaryota; Metazoa; Chordata; Aves; Passeriformes; Paridae.